RNAcentral lists this transfer RNA (76 nucleotides) under Candidatus Shapirobacteria bacterium CG_4_9_14_0_2_um_filter_40_11. Its description in RNAcentral is "tRNA-Arg". It matches the Rfam family "tRNA". From Rfam's summary of the family: Transfer RNA (tRNA) molecules are approximately 80 nucleotides in length. Their secondary structure includes four short double-helical elements and three loops (D, anti-codon, and T loops). Lineage: Bacteria; Candidatus Shapironibacteriota. RNAcentral also lists the same sequence under 2 other names. The record is from RNAcentral.
GCGCCCAUAGUUUAACGGAUAAAACAUCAGGUUGCGGACCUGAAAACUGGAGGUUCGAUUCCUCCUAGGCGCACCA